CGGGUGAGUAACGCGUAGAUAAUCUGCCUUAGACUCUGGGAUAACAUCUCGAAAGGGGUGCUAAUACCGGAUAAGCCCACGAAGACGUGAGUCUUUGCGGGAAAAGGGGGCCUCUGCAUAUGCUCUUGAUCUAAGAUGAGUCUGCGUACCAUUAGCUUGUUGGUAGGGUAAUGGCCUACCAAGGCGACGAUGGUUAGCUGGUCUGAGAGGAUGAUCAGCCACACUGGGACUGAGACACGGCCCAGACUCCUACGGGAGGCAGCAGUGGGGAAUUUUGCGCAAUGGGGGAAACCCUGACGCAGCAACGCCGCGUGAGUGAUGAAGGCUUUCGGGUCGUAAAGCUCUGUCUAGAGGGAAGAAGUGAUAUUUGGUUAAUACCCAGAUUUCUUGACGGUACCUCUGAAGGAAGCACCGGCUAACUCCGUGCCAGCAGCCGCGGUAAUACGGAGGGUGCAAGCGUUGUUCGGAAUUAUUGGGCGUAAAGCGCGUGUAGGCGGUUUGUUAAGUCUGAUGUGAAAGCCCUGGGCUCAACCUGGGAAGUGCAUUGGAAACUGGCAGACUUGAAUACGGGAGAGGGUAGUGGAAUUCCGAGUGUAGGAGUGAAAUCCGUAGAUAUUCGGAGGAACACCGGUGGCGAAGGCGGCUACCUGGACCGAUAUUGACGCUGAGACGCGAAAGCGUGGGUAGCAAACAGGAUUAGAUACCCUGGUAGUCCACGCCGUAAACGAUUUUUCUAGGUGUUGCG
This 745-nucleotide ribosomal RNA is filed under the name uncultured bacterium. RNAcentral describes it as "bacterial SSU rRNA". It matches the Rfam family "Bacterial small subunit ribosomal RNA", at positions 103 to 827 of the family's 1533-position model. The record is from RNAcentral.